GCAGCUGUCUUUGUCUGGGGCGGCGGCAGCGUGGCAGGAGCGAGGGGCGCCCCGACCCGUCCCCUCCGCCCUCCACUACCCCUGCCGGCUCCAGCCCGUCCGUGUCUCACCCUCUUUGUUUAACAAAGAGCGGAGAGACUAUAAAUGCCCCUGAGCAGCUUGGCUGCGAGCAGGGCCCUUGGGGCGUCCCACCGGCGUCAUCCUAGCCGCGUGAGCGCCGAGCUUGGGCACGGGGGGGAGGGGGGGGUGGCGGGGGUUGGCGUGCUUGUACACUUGAUCCAUUUUCUCUAAACUGCCGCGAUGAAUGUCAGUCCCCAGAGCCGGAAUCGUUCCCGGUUUUCUCUACUUGAAUCUGAGAACUAUGUCCCUCCAGCCCUGCGAGCGCUUUGCCAGGGUGACGGGGGGAAAUGUCCCCGCAUCAGUGCCUGCUUUCCCAGAUGGGACCCUCCAGCAGUCCCCUCCACUGCCCUUGCUUCCUCCACUGCCCUUGCUUACUCCUAACCACUUCCCCCCAGCGACCGCGGAAGGCGCUUCCUCCCCGGCAGCCCGAGCCCCAAGCUCUUCCAGCGCCCCAGCUCUCCCCGCCCCCUUCCUGACCUUGUUUCAUAUGACCCCUCCCCCGCAUAUACUCAAUUUCAUCUUCCCAAGGCGCCCACUCUCCACAUCCUGAGGAAAAAAAGAGCCGGCUGCUGUCCUA
Molecule: long non-coding RNA, 697 nt
Filed under: Pongo abelii (Sumatran orangutan)
Lineage: Eukaryota; Metazoa; Chordata; Mammalia; Primates; Hominidae
Description: lincRNA
Source: RNAcentral